UCUCCGUUGGUGAACCAGCGGAGGGAUCAUUAUCGAGUUUAUAACUCCCAAACCCUAUGUGAACUUACCACUUGUUGCUUCGGCGCGCGCUUCGGUGCCGCCGAGGACACUUAAACUCUUUGCUUUUAUAAGCAUUUCUGAGUGGCCGAAAGGCAAAAUACAAAUGAAUCAAAACUUUCAACAACGGAUCUCUUGGUUCUG
This 201-nucleotide unclassified non-coding RNA is filed under the name plant metagenome. RNAcentral describes it as "partial contains small subunit ribosomal RNA, internal transcribed spacer 1, and 5.8S ribosomal RNA". The record is from RNAcentral.